This 942-nucleotide long non-coding RNA is filed under the name Dendronephthya gigantea. Its description in RNAcentral is "uncharacterized LOC114532574, transcript variant X2". The record is from RNAcentral. Lineage: Eukaryota; Metazoa; Cnidaria; Anthozoa; Malacalcyonacea; Nephtheidae.
GUUCAGAAGCUCUAUAUUAAAGACUGGGACGUGCGCCGGAGUUAACGCCAGAACAGGCGUCUUGUUCAUUUACAUCCGGCUUCACUUUCGAUUCCCUCGGGUUAUACAACUGCUUUACGUUCAGUUAAGAAAACCGUCACAUAAAUACUUCACAUUGGCUGUUUAAUAACAUGCUAUGUUUACUGACUGAUAUUACUGUUCACAUUCUGAUUUCUGACAUUCACACAAGACAUUCGCGCUGAAUGUCGUUGUAAUCUACACAAAGAGACGUGUGUUGUUGUUGCUAUAUCAUCUGAAUAUUAGUCUAAAAUCUUCAAUUUUCACCAUGGAAAGUUUCAAGAAUAUGUAUGAUCUGAUGAGAAGUGAGGGGUCCGUAUGGAAUUAAGCCAUAUGCCUGCUCGUAGACUGAAUUUUAAUUUGCCGGAAGUUUGGUAAGGUAAUAUUAAGUAAGGGAUCCGUAUGGAAUUAAGCCAAUAUGCCAACUGAAUUUUAAUUUGCCGGAAGUUUGGUAAGGUAAAAUUAAGUCUGCGGGGUUUACCACAUAUGUGAAUAUUGUGAAUAUCAUCAAUUGGAUUUAAACCAAUCAUAUCUGAAUGUUUAACGUCACAGGCUAUGUCAAGUAGAGAGGAACCAAUGGCAAUAGCAUGCAGACGAGCGGGUCUAAGACAGACAAGACUUGGAAAUUUUGUGAAACAACUCUCAUCGGUGCAUGUCACGCAUACUGAGCAUAGCCUUCAUAGGCAUACAGCGUAGAGAGAAAAUCACCCAUAAAAAGCAACGUUCCAAGCCAUGGUUGUCUUUGAGAUAAUAAUUAAAAUAAGAUCCACGUGGAUUCACGUAAUUGUUAUUGUGGAGAGAAACGAUUCAUCAUCGCAGCUGCAAGAAUGUAUCACAGAAACAUUAGAUUGACACUCUGACAGAGCCGGUAGUAUUGAAGAUAAC